CAAAUCGGAUAAUCGCGCGAUGAAAGACUCGUGAGGAAGGUCCAUGCCCGCCCAAUCUGAGAUGACUGGAGUGUUUGUACUGAGCCUAAUAAGCGAAGGCAGUUAUUUUAACUGACGGCUAGCAAAAGGACUAAAGCUUAGCCAUGUCCAAUUAGCUUAUAAAAGUGCUAUAGCGACGAAUAACCGGAAAACCGGCGAAGUGAGACGACGUAAACCCUGCAAGCGGGCAACCCAAACUUUUUGGUAGGGGCGGUCAAUUUAGCUAAUUGAAGUAAAAAUUGACACCGGUUUUAUCCGGUAGAUAGAUGAUUGUCGAAGAACUUGAUUGCCAAUCUCGUUUGGAACAUAACAUGGCCUAUAGAU
RNAcentral lists this RNase P RNA (363 nucleotides) under Oenococcus sp. UCMA 17063. RNAcentral describes it as "RNase P RNA component class B". It matches the Rfam family "Bacterial RNase P class B". Rfam says of the family: Ribonuclease P (RNase P) is a ubiquitous endoribonuclease, found in archaea, bacteria and eukarya as well as chloroplasts and mitochondria. Its best characterised activity is the generation of mature 5'-ends of tRNAs by cleaving the 5'-leader elements of precursor-tRNAs. The record is from RNAcentral. Lineage: Bacteria; Bacillati; Bacillota; Bacilli; Lactobacillales; Lactobacillaceae.